Molecule: ribosomal RNA, 162 nt
Filed under: uncultured bacterium
Lineage: Bacteria
Description: partial 16S ribosomal RNA
Rfam family: Bacterial small subunit ribosomal RNA
Source: RNAcentral
CAUGCCGCGUGUGUGAAGAAGGCUUUCGGGUUGUAAAGCACUUUCAGUAGGGAGGAAAACCUUAUGGCUAAUACCCAUGAGGCUUGACGUUACCUACAGAAGAAGCACCGGCUAACUCCGUGCCAGCAACGGCGGUGACUGAGCGGGCUGGCAAGGCGCAUA